GACGAACGCUGGCGGCGUGCUUAACACAUGCAAGUCGAACGGAAAGGCCCUGCUUUUGUGGGGUGCUCGAGUGGCGAACGGGUGAGUAACACGUGAGUAACCUGCCCUUGACUUUGGGAUAACUUCAGGAAACUGGGGCUAACACCGGAUAGGAGCUCCUGCUGCAUGGUGGGGGUUGGAAAGUUUCGGCGGUUGGGGAUGGACUCGCGGCUUAUCAGCUUGUUGGUGGGGUAGUGGCUUACCAAGGCUUUGACGGGUAGCCGGCCUGAGAGGGUGACCGGCCACAUUGGGACUGAGGUACGGCCCAGACUCCUACGGGAGGCAGCAGUGGGGAAUAUUGCACAAUGGGCGGAAGCCUGAUGCAGCAACGCCGCGUGCGGGAUGACGGCCUUCGGGUUGUAAACCGCUUUCGCCUGUGACGAAGCGUGAGUGACGGUAAUGGGUAAAGAAGCACCGGCUAACUACGUG
This 468-nucleotide ribosomal RNA is filed under the name uncultured bacterium. Its description in RNAcentral is "partial 16S ribosomal RNA". It matches the Rfam family "Bacterial small subunit ribosomal RNA", at positions 28 to 507 of the family's 1533-position model. The record is from RNAcentral.